Molecule: ribosomal RNA, 505 nt
Filed under: uncultured bacterium
Lineage: Bacteria
Description: partial 16S ribosomal RNA
Rfam family: Bacterial small subunit ribosomal RNA
Source: RNAcentral
GACGAACGCUGGCGGCGUGCCUAAUACAUGCAAGUAGAACGCACAGUUUAUACCGUAGCUUGCUACACCAUAAACUGUGAGUUGCGAACGGGUGAGUAACGCGUAGGUAACCUGCCUGGUAGCGGGGGAUAACUAUUGGAAACGAUAGCUAAUACCGCAUAAUAUUAAUUAUUGCAUGAUAAUUGAUUGAAAGAUGCAAUUGCAUCACUACCAGAUGGACCUGCGUUGUAUUAGCUAGUAGGUGAGGUAACGGCUCACCUAGGCGACGAUACAUAGCCGACCUGAGAGGGUGAUCGGCCACACUGGGACUGAGACACGGCCCAGACUCCUACGGGAGGCAGCAGUAGGGAAUCUUCGGCAAUGAACGAAAGUCUGACCGAGCAACGCCGCGUGAGUGAAGAAGGUUUUCGGAUCGUAAAGCUCUGUUGUAAGAGAAGAACGGGUGUGAGAGUGGAAAGUUCACACUGUGACGGUAUCUUACCAGAAAGGGACGGCUAACUACGUG